CUGAGCUGUUAUAAAGGCUUUUUAAAACUCAGCUGUGCUGACCACGCAUUGUAUGAGAGCACAGAGUUGAUGGUCUACAUGAAUGCAAUGCUUGAGGAUUCCUAGUUGAACAAGAAGAUUUUUGCGUUAAAGAAAGUAACAGAAUGACUGUUCUAUGGUUUCAUUCUUAUGGUAGUGCUCUUGCAUUGAUAUAACUCCAGGGAAUGGGUUUGCAGCAACUUUAAGAAACAGAGUGAACUAUUUGAAAGGGUUGAACCCUUUGAAAAGGGAUCUUUGCAGUUGGUCUAGUCAUUUUUAUUAUAAAACAUGGAGGAAUAACAUGCUGGAAGUUGGAUGAACUGAGUCAUAACACCAAAAGAACAUUUUCAAAAGCAAUUGAUCUCACUAACUGCUAUCUCUGAACCACUUGCUUUGCAAGCAAGCUCACUAUGGAGCCCACAGAUGUGUGAACAAAUGGGAUGUCACCAGAGCCACAGAUUCUCAGGGGAAUAUGACUAGAAAGGGAAGCAGGAGAGUUCUGAAGCACAAUGCUGGAGGCUGGAAAACAAUUUCACCUUCACUAUCACUCCCAUUCAGAUUUGGAUCUCAUUCCUGGUCCUGCAGUCCACCAGCAAAACUGCAGGGCAGAGCUUCCUCUCACAGCAUGUGAGUAAAGCUGUGAGCCUCUCCCCAGGCACCAGCCUGCAGAGCACUGCCUGGACAGGCUGCUCUGGUGGGCAAAUCUCUGCAUGGCACCCCCAGCAAGUCACAGCCCAAACACUUUGCUCACCUGGGGCGUGUGCAGGGAGGUGUUUGCCUUCCCUGGCACCACACAGAGGGAAGCUGGAUUUCCAUGACAACUGUAAACAAAAUCACACUGGAAUCUAUUUCAUCUGGGUUUCUGCACACAGAAUGGGACCUGGUGUCCCUCCUUUGUUCACAUUUCACAGCAGUAGGUAUUUGGAACAAGGAUGUUUUAUUAACUUAAAUAAUACUUUGCGUUUCGUUGAGUGCCAGGUUCUCAGUGGACGAGCAAGCUGAAUGAGAAGCAAUUGCUCUGAAAAUGGUGACAGCAAGAAGGCAUGAGUCCCAUUUAAUACAAUUUUAACAGCAUGACUUGUUAAUCACAAUACAACAAAAGCAGUUGUGGACUAUUUAAGCCUCAACCUUUUCCCUACAUGAGGAUGGUAUACCAAAACAUUUGUGUCUUUCUACACCAAGAGAAGAAAGGCCCUUCUCACGUGAAUUUAUAAUAUUCAGUAUGGGCUUCUUUUAAACUUUCCUGUUGUUGGCUUUUUUCCUCCCUCUACUUGGAUCCUUUAAAGAUCUGUAAUUUAUUAGAGGCUUCCUCUUCCUUCCUGUACCUUUCUGCUCUGGAUGCUCUAUUUAUAGGUUUUUGAAGC
RNAcentral lists this long non-coding RNA (1382 nucleotides) under Gallus gallus (chicken). Its description in RNAcentral is "lncRNA (ENSGALG00010006980.1)". The record is from RNAcentral. Lineage: Eukaryota; Metazoa; Chordata; Aves; Galliformes; Phasianidae.